Suricata suricatta (meerkat) is the source of this 103-nucleotide small nuclear RNA. Lineage: Eukaryota; Metazoa; Chordata; Mammalia; Carnivora; Herpestidae. The record is from Ensembl.
UUGCUUCAGCAGCAUGUACAGUAAAAUUUGAACAAUACAGAGCAGACCAACACAACCCCAAUGCAAGGAUGACAUGCAAAUUCUUGAAGCGUUCCAUAUUUUU